ACCCUCUCAGAGUCACACCUGGAGAGUUCCCAGUACUCUACCAGUCUCGACUACAAGAGGGAGAGUCAAGCAGAGGCAUAUCCACUCCAUUCCUAGCUUGGGCAGUGGCUAGCGAGUGGAAGGCAAUCAGCUACAAAU
Molecule: small nucleolar RNA, 138 nt
Filed under: Ornithorhynchus anatinus (platypus)
Lineage: Eukaryota; Metazoa; Chordata; Mammalia; Monotremata; Ornithorhynchidae
Source: RNAcentral